GAUGAACGCUGGCGGCGUGCCUAAUACAUGCAAGCCGAGCGAACAGACGAGGAGCUUGCUCCUCUGACGUUAGCGGCGGACGGGUGAGUAACACGUGGAUAACCUACCUAUAAGACUGGGAUAACUUCGGGAAACCGGAGCUAAUACCGGAUAAUAUAUUGAACCGCAUGGUUCAAUAGUGAAAGACGGUUUUGCUGUCACUUAUAGAUGGAUCCGCGCCGCAUUAGCUAGUUGGUAAGGUAACGGCUUACCAAGGCAACGAUGCGUAGCCGACCUGAGAGGGUGAUCGGCCGCACUGGAACUGAGACACGGUCCAGACUCCUACGGGAGGCAGCAGUAGGGAAUCUUCCGCAAUGGGCGAAAGCCUGACGGAGCAACGCCGCGUGAGUGAUGAAGGUCUUCGGAUCGUAAAACUCUGUUAUUAGGGAAGAACAAAUGUGUAAGUAACUAUGCACGUCUUGACGGUACCUAAUCAGAAAGCCACGGCUAACUACGUG
This 497-nucleotide ribosomal RNA is filed under the name uncultured bacterium. Its description in RNAcentral is "partial 16S ribosomal RNA". It matches the Rfam family "Bacterial small subunit ribosomal RNA", at positions 28 to 507 of the family's 1533-position model. The record is from RNAcentral.